This 492-nucleotide ribosomal RNA is filed under the name uncultured bacterium. Its description in RNAcentral is "partial 16S ribosomal RNA". It matches the Rfam family "Bacterial small subunit ribosomal RNA", at positions 29 to 507 of the family's 1533-position model. The record is from RNAcentral.
AGUGAACGCUGGCGGCAGGCUUAACACAUGCAAGUCGAACGGAAGCACAGUAAGAGCUUGCUCUUACGGGUGGCGAGUGGCGGACGGGUGAGGAAGACAUCGGAAUCUACUUUUUCGUGGGGGAUAACGUAGGGGAACUUACGCUAGUACAGCAUAAGACCUACGGGUGAAAGCAGGGGAUCUUCGGACCUUGCGCGAUUGAAUGAGCCGAUGUAGGAUUAGCUAGUUGGCGGGGUAAAGGACCACCACGGCGGCGAUCCGUAGCUGGUCUGAGUGGAUGAUCAGCCACACGGGAACUGAGACACGGUCCAUACUCCUACGGUAGGCAGCAGUGUGGAAUAUUGGACAAUGGGCGCAAGCCUGAUCCAGCCAUACCGCGUGUGUUAAGAAGGCCUUCGGUUUGUAAAGCCCUUUUGUUGGGAAAGAAAAGCAUCAGGUUAAUACCCCGCUGUACUGACGGUACCCAAAGAAUAAGCACCGGCUAACUUCGUG